UGUCCACUGAACCUUAUCAUUUAGAGGAAGGAGAAGUCGUAACAAGGUUUCCGUAGGUGAACCUGCGGAAGGAUCAUUGUCGAAUCCUGCAAUAGCAAAAUGACCCGCUAACACGUUAACAAUUUGGGCGAGCGUCGGGGGGCCUCGGUCUCCUGUCUGCGAAUCCCUGGUAGGUGGCCACUCUCGGGUGGCCACUGGCCUGCAAAAUCAUUCGGGCGCGGAAUGCGCCAAGGACCUUAAAACUGAAUUGUACGUCCGUAUCCCGUUAGCGGGCACCGGCGUCAUUCCAAAAUACAACGACUCUCGACAACGGAUAUCUCGGCUCUCGCAUCGAUGAAGAACGUAGCGAAAUGCGAUACUUGGUGUGAAUUGCAGAAUCCCGUGAACCAUCGAGUCUUUGAACGCAAGUUGCGCCCGAAGCCACUAGGCUGAGGGCACGCCUGCCUGGGUGUCACGCAUCGUAUUGCCCACAGACCACUCACACCUGAGAAGUUGUGCCGGUUUGGGGCGCAAAUUGGCCUCCCGUACCUUGUCGUGCGGUUGGCGGAAAAACGAGUCUCCGGCGACGGACGUCGCGACAUCGGUGGUUGUGAAAGACCCUCUUGUCUUGUCGCGCGAAUCCUCGUCAUCUUAGCGAGCUCCAGGACCCUUAGGCAGCACACACUCUGUGCGCUUCGACUGUGACCCCAGGUCAGGCGGGACUACCCGCUGAGUUUAAGCAUAUCAAUAAGCGGAGGA
Molecule: ribosomal RNA, 738 nt
Filed under: Angelica gigas
Lineage: Eukaryota; Viridiplantae; Streptophyta; Magnoliopsida; Apiales; Apiaceae
Description: eukaryotic LSU rRNA
Rfam family: 5.8S ribosomal RNA (bases 299-454)
Source: RNAcentral